Molecule: ribosomal RNA, 244 nt
Filed under: uncultured bacterium
Lineage: Bacteria
Description: partial 16S ribosomal RNA
Rfam family: Bacterial small subunit ribosomal RNA
Source: RNAcentral
UACAGAGGGUGCGAGCGUUGUUCGGAAUUACUGGGCGUAAAGGCGCGCGCAGGCGGCCUUUAAGUCUGCGGAUGAAAUGCCGGGGCUCCAACCCGUUGCAGGCCUGACGGAUACUGGGAGGCUGGAGACGAGUAGAGGCAAGCGGAAUUCCGGGUGUAGCGGUGGAAUGCGGUAGAAGAUCCGGAAGAACACCGGUAGGCGAAGGGCAGGUUCAGCCGUGGACACUUACUGGACGCUACAGGCA